RNAcentral lists this transfer RNA (69 nucleotides) under Ictidomys tridecemlineatus (thirteen-lined ground squirrel). RNAcentral's name for it is "Spermophilus tridecemlineatus (thirteen-lined ground squirrel) tRNA". It matches the Rfam family "tRNA". From Rfam's summary of the family: Transfer RNA (tRNA) molecules are approximately 80 nucleotides in length. Lineage: Eukaryota; Metazoa; Chordata; Mammalia; Rodentia; Sciuridae. The record is from Rfam by way of RNAcentral.
GGGGCUGUAGCUCAGUGGAAGAGCGCUUGCCUAGCAUGCAUGAGGCAAUGGGUUUGAUCCUCAGCACCA